GUGUCAGCCGCCGCGGUAAUACGUAGGGUGCGAGCGUUGUCCGGAAUUACUGGGCGUAAAGGGCUCGUAGGCGGUUUGUCGCGUCGUCCGUGAAAACUUGGGGCUCAACCCCGAGCGUGCGGGCGAUACGGGCAGACUUGAGUACUGCAGGGGAGACUGGAAUUCCUGGUGUAGCGGUGAAAUGCGCAGAUAUCAGGAGGAACACCGGUGGCGAAGGCGGGUCUCUGGGCAGUAACUGACGCUGAUGAGCGAAAGCGUGGGUAGCGAACAGGAUUAGAUACCCUGGUAGUCCACGCCGUAAACGGUGGGCGCUAGGUGUGGGUUUCCUUCCACGGGAUCCGUGCCGUAGCUAACGCAUUAAGCGCCCCGCCUGGGGAGUACGGCCGCAAGGCUAAAACUUAAAUGAAUUGACGG
This 414-nucleotide ribosomal RNA is filed under the name uncultured bacterium. RNAcentral describes it as "bacterial SSU rRNA". It matches the Rfam family "Bacterial small subunit ribosomal RNA", at positions 505 to 916 of the family's 1533-position model. The record is from RNAcentral.